This 492-nucleotide ribosomal RNA is filed under the name uncultured bacterium. Its description in RNAcentral is "partial 16S ribosomal RNA". It matches the Rfam family "Bacterial small subunit ribosomal RNA", at positions 29 to 507 of the family's 1533-position model. The record is from RNAcentral.
AGUGAACGCUGGCGGUAGGCCUAACACAUGCAAGUCGAACGGCAGCACAGUAAGAGCUUGCUCUUACGGGUGGCGAGUGGCGGACGGGUGGGGAAUACAUCGGAAUCUACUUUUUCGUGGGGGAUAACGUAGGGAAACUUACGCUAAUACCGCAUACGACCUACGGGUGAAAGCAGGGGAUCUUCGGACCUUGCGCGAUUGAAUGAGCCGAUGUCGGAUUAGCUAGUUGGCGGGGUAAAGGCCCACCAAGGCGACGAUCCGUAGCUGGUCUAAGAGGAUGAUCAGCCACACUGGAACUGAGACACGGUCCAGACUCCUACGGGAGGCAGCAGUGGGGAAUAUUGGACAAUGGGCGCAAGCCUGAUCCAGCCAUACCGCGUGGGUGAAGAAGGCCUUCGGGUUGUAAAGCCCUUUUGUUGGGAAAGAAAAGCAGCAGGUUAAUACCCCGCUGUUCUGACGGUACCCAAAGAAUAAGCACCGGCUAACUUCGUG